GUGAACUCAGACCGCGCAUUUUAAUGGGCCGAACUUCCAAGUAGCCGCUUGCAGUAUGCAGUCUGGUUGCGGCUUAUUCCUUGAGAAAUAUAUGUUGAAGUAACUCUUUGGACUGUCACGGGUUGAAUACAAAACAGACAUGAAACUUGCUUGAACUUUCCAAAGGCCUAAUCUGAAAGUGGGGAGGGUCUUGUGAGCGUGGGGCACCUGUACGUGCACAGGACAGUAAUGGUGUAUUAACUGAAGGAAGAUGAUGACAGAGGCAUGUCGAGCCACACAGGCAAAGUAGAACAGGCGGCCGAGUUUCUGAUGGGGAAAGAUAAAAAGCACUCAGAGCAGCAGCAGAAGUGACGAGCCAGCCUCAAGCGGAUUCUCGAUGAAUUGCAGUUUAUAACACUUCCGCAUGGGCUUCAUACUUUGAGAUCGGAGGUUGCCGCUUGCUCCUAUGUUACCUGCUGAUCUAUAGAGACGUCACCCGGUGCAAAACUGUCAACCUAUAAAAACAAAAGAGCUCAACUCUGAAGUCAACUAAAUGCCUGGCAGCACUCUUCAGACACAGUGUGAGAAGAGCCCCAUAGGGUGGUUCUGCAGCCAGCGUCAAGCGGAUUCUCAAUGAACUGCAGUUUAUAACACUUCCCUAUGGGCUUCAUAGUUUGAGACCGGAGUUUGCCGCUUGAUGUGUCACUUCUGAUUCA
Long non-coding RNA from Notolabrus celidotus (New Zealand spotty), 695 nucleotides. RefSeq lists it as uncharacterized. Lineage: Eukaryota; Metazoa; Chordata; Actinopteri; Labriformes; Labridae. The transcript is spliced from 6 exons. The record is from RefSeq and is a predicted model, not a curated record.